UAUAAGAAAAUCAAACAAAUUCUGUCAAAUAAUGUGAUCGAUAAAAAUGGUCGAUCAAGGAAAAAUUAUUCGUAUUUCACUUGAAUCAGUUGGAACACAAUUCAUGCAAACUGGAUAGAAAGUGGCAAACAUUAAGUGGUGCAACCGGUUAUACAAAACGCAAUAUUCCUAUUUCAAAAUUGUUGAUAUGGACUUCGAACGGGAAGAUAUGGACAUCGAAAAUCUUUAGUUUCAACAGAAUGAUGCCAUUAUACAGCACGAGAAAUAUUACAAUUACGGCUCACUAAGUUUCCAGAUCGCAUUAUUUACUCCCAUUGGUCCCCAUUAUCUUGUGGCCUAAUUUUCUCCAUCCUUAUUCGAUUUGGAGAUAUUUUAAGACAACAGUCAAGAGGACGCAAAAUAUAUAACAUAGAACCAGAUUUGUGCUGCAUAAUAGAAAAAUUCUUCAAACUUCAAAUUUACGCCAUAUAUGCAUCGCGUAAAAUUAGGGGUACCGGUAUAAAGUGGUCUACCAGGAAAUGAGAAAGUACAUGAAUUUGCUAGAAGAGGAUCUGCUAGUGUCUUUAUUGGAUCAGAGGAUAUACAGGGUGUACCUUAAAGACGUGCUAAUAUUUAAAAGGGUGAUUCCUGGACCCAUUUUAAGAAAAAAAGUUUCUAUGAACAUAUAUCCUAAACGUCUUAACUUUUGAAAUACAAGGUGUUAAGGUUUUCAAAAAAAAAUCAGUUUUUUAAUAAUAACUUAAACAAUAAUGUAGAUACAUAGACAUUUUUAUGAAAUUUGGUACAUGUAUUCUUUGCAUCAAGACGCAUUUUUUGAUGUGCAAAAAAACUUUUUCUCUGCCAGUGGCGUUCCCAUAGGUCUUCUAUUAAAUAUUUUUAGUGAAAAAAUUACUACGCCACUACUUUUCUUGAAAUAAUUUGUUUUUCAAAACAAUGAAAAGUUAAAUUUUCAAGUUUAAAACUUCGCAAUAAAGCACUUAAUAGAUUCCAAGCCACUAAAAACCCCAAUCACUGGGUUUACUAUAAAGAACUUCGUAAUUUUACAACAUCGACCAUAAGAGCUGAAAAAAAAGCUUAUCUGAAUACCACCUUUAAGCAAGGUACCACUAAGCAGAAAUGGCAAGAACUUAAAAAAAUAAAUAUAAUAAAAAAUAGAUCAAACCACAUUCCAGAACAUUUGUCCAACGUUCAUGAAUUAAAUAAUUAUUUUUCAUUGAUGAAUACCAAUAAUCAAAACAUACAUAAUGAAACAUUAUUAUCCUAUCUAAAUAACAAGCUCAAUAUUACAAAUUCAUUUUCUUUUAUUUCUGUGGCAGAUUUAUAUUAAAAGUAGUUUAUAACCUAAAAUCAAAUGCAAUUGGCCAAGAUAAAUUAAAUUUAAAUCUUAUUUUAUUCUGUUGUCCAUUUUUAAUUCCUCAUAUUAGACAUCUUGUAAACUUUUGCUUGAUAUCAGGUACAUUUCCUGAUUCAUGGAAGCAAGCCAAACUCAGUCCAUUGUGCAAAUGUAACAACCCUAAGGAAUUUAGCGACCUUCGAUCAUUCUCUAUCCUUCCUUGCUUAUCCAAGAUUUUAGACAAAGUAUUGGAGACUCAGAUUGGCAGUUUUGUAAAUUCUAAUAAUAUUUUACCCGUUAAAUAAUCCGGUUUUAGACAGGGGCAUAGUUGUGAGACAACUCUUGCUGAGGUCAGUGAUUCAAUAUUUAAAUCAUUAGAUUUGAAAAAUGCAUCUGUUCUUAAUAUGCUAAACUUCUGUAAAGCAUUUGAUACUUUAAACCAUGAACUGUUGUUGGCAGUACUACAGUAUAUUGGAUUGUCUGACAUGGCAUUAGGGCUAAUUAAAUCAUAUUUAACACAUAGGUUUCAAAGAGUUUGCAUCGGUGACUCUCUUUCAAGUAGUGCAAAAAUAAAACAGCUGGUGUUCCUCAAGGAAGCAUUCUGGGCCCUCUCCGAUAUUCUAUUUACAUUUGUAAUAUCUACAAAUGUCUUCAAUACUGUGAUCACCAUAUGUAUGCUGAUGAUACCCAAUUAAUUUACAGCUUCACUGUUCCUGGUACUGAGGAAGCCAAUUUAAAAAUAGAUAGUGAUCUUCAGUACUUAUACGAAAAAUCGACAAAUAUUCAGCUUAAACUAAAUCCAGCCAAAUCCGAAGCAAUUGUGUUUGCCAGUGACAUUCACUCAUUAAUGAUCUACACUUAAAAAUAGGAAACGAAAAGAUUACUAUUAAAGAUAGUGCAAAAAACUUCUAAUUUAUGGUCUAAUUAUAGAUCAUAAAUUACGAUUUAAAGAACACAUCACAACAAAACUUAAAAUAGCCUAUUCAACCUUAAAAAUGCUUUAUUCACACAGGCAUUAUUUAAAUCAAACAACAAAAAAAAACAUUAUGCGAAUCCUUAGUCUUAUCUCACUUUAACUUUUUUGACCCAAUUUAUGGCCCAUGUCGAAUUCAAGUUGUUCAAAACUCCUGUCUAAGAUUUAUUUUUAGUAUACGAAGACGCAACAGCAUUACUUAUAAGCUUAAAGAUGUAAAAUGGUUAGAUAUGGCAAGACGUAGAGAGCUACAUUCAGUUUUUCACAUUUAGAAAUUCAAUUUGGAAAAAAAUGUUUGAUUAAUAUGUAAUCUAUUUAAUUAUACAAUAUGUGACGUAGCACUGCAUUUAUAGCGUCAUCUCUUCUUUUCUCUUCUUUACGCUUCUUUUCUUUCGAUCUCACUUACUGUUCUUUCUCUCUUUCUCCUUCUUUAUUUUGUAAAUAUAUUCUUAUAUAUAUAAUUAUAAAAAAGUAAAUAAAUAAAAGUAAAUAAACAGUCUACUUCGUGGUUUCAACAGCCCCUACGUAAUUGUUAGGAUGCUAAAAAUUAGGUCAUUUAAUUCCGCACAAUUAUAUUAUUAUUAUUAUUAUUAUUAUUAUUAUUAUUAUUAUUAUUAUAUAUUAUUAUUAUUUGCGUUAAAUAAAAGCGUAAACGGCAUUUAAAUUUAUUAAUUUUUUUAACUUAUUAAUUUUUUUUAAAAAUCGACGAACAAACAUUUUUACACCGCAUUAGAUUUUCAGGGAAUUAAAAUUGAAGAAGUCGUUAAAAUUUCUACAAUAUUGUUUAAGUUAUUAUUAAAAAACUGAUUUUUUUUAACUUUAACUAAAGUUAAGACGUUUAGGACAUAUGUUCAUAGGAACUUUUUUUCUUAAAAUGGGUCCAGGA
Anthonomus grandis grandis is the source of this 3192-nucleotide long non-coding RNA. RefSeq lists it as uncharacterized. NCBI's taxonomy places the organism in Eukaryota, Metazoa, Arthropoda, Insecta, Coleoptera, Curculionidae. The transcript has 3 exons. The record is from RefSeq and is a predicted model, not a curated record.